AUGUUUUUUCUUUUGAAAUCAUCUCCUGUGUAUGUACUCCUGAGAACGGACAUGCUCUUGCUGACAUCCUUCCAUGGCCGGAUCUCUGCACCUCCACCUAUGGUGAGCAAGGAAGCCCAUCAUAAAUUGGUGGCCAGAUUAUUUCACCCAUGGAUGAAGAAAACAAUAGGAUGAGAUAUUGUUCCCUGGCACAAAAUUUCUUUGAAGCAAUCAUGAAGAUGGAUGCAGUUCUGCGCAUGCGGGGUCCAGACAGCUAAGCGGUGCGUGUGAGGUGGAGAGGUUGGCGCCGGGGGGCUUGUGGCCGCUGCUUGCUCGCAAC
Molecule: long non-coding RNA, 319 nt
Filed under: Fukomys damarensis (Damara mole-rat)
Lineage: Eukaryota; Metazoa; Chordata; Mammalia; Rodentia; Bathyergidae
Description: lncRNA (ENSFDAG00000032692.1)
Source: RNAcentral